GGAUAUAAGGGUGAUCUGGCUGCAACAUCUGUCACCCCACUGAUUGCCAGGGUUGAUGUGACUGAUCUGACUGACUAGGCAGGUGUCCCCUUCCUCCCACACUGCUCCAUGUACAUCCCUCCUGAAGCUAAUAGCCUUCCCCAAAUAGAAACUAGCCAAUCUUCAGUUAAGGGUAUACAAGUAGCAGUGCUUUCUUGAUAGAACCUCCAAACAAGCUCUCAAGAAUAGACAGGAGAGGUAUCUGAGGAGGGCAGAGUCUAAUUAAAGCUAAAUUGACAAGAUCGAUUCAAACAUGUUAAAUAU
Molecule: small nuclear RNA, 303 nt
Filed under: Erinaceus europaeus (western European hedgehog)
Lineage: Eukaryota; Metazoa; Chordata; Mammalia; Eulipotyphla; Erinaceidae
Description: 7SK RNA
Rfam family: 7SK RNA
About the family: 7SK was discovered as an abundant small nuclear RNA in the mid-70s but a possible function has only recently been suggested.
Source: Rfam by way of RNAcentral